This is a long non-coding RNA of Medicago truncatula (barrel medic), 176 nucleotides long. RefSeq lists it as uncharacterized. The transcript is spliced from 2 exons. Lineage: Eukaryota; Viridiplantae; Streptophyta; Magnoliopsida; Fabales; Fabaceae. The record is from RefSeq and is a predicted model, not a curated record.
GAAUUUGCUGGGUUUUCUCGCUCAAAUCCAUAUUAUGUUGUACAACAAGGAAAGAUAGCAUCCCUAACCUUGAUGAAAGACUCUGAGCGAUUGGAUUUACUGAAGGAAAUAGGUGGUACUAGAGUUUAUGAGGAGAGGCGUCGUGAAAGUUUGAAAAUAAUGCAGGAUACAGGCAA